RNAcentral lists this long non-coding RNA (2823 nucleotides) under Salmo salar (Atlantic salmon). RNAcentral's name for it is "lncRNA (ENSSSAG00000097043.1)". Lineage: Eukaryota; Metazoa; Chordata; Actinopteri; Salmoniformes; Salmonidae. The record is from RNAcentral.
GUCCGUGAUGAGAUUUGAACACGCACCCCUUGGGUUGAUAGACUUUCGCAUUACACGCCCACCCUUCUUUCGUUUUUACCUUAAGUAAUCUUCUGUCUUAUGUAACUAUACCAAACUUAACAUAUCAUACUAAUUUGAUGUUCCGGAUUGACAUUUACUGUUACUUCUAGUCUGAGACCAGGCUGCAACCAGAUGUCAAGAAUAAAAGGUCACACUCACCCGUGUUGGAAUGAACAGCCCCUUCAGACUAGCCUACUAUUUCAGCUGUUUCUAGCUAAUGAAACCAAUAUAUAAACUUCACUAUCAAUGUCUAACCUAGUUAAGAAAGACCAACCGAUGAUGUGUCAAUAUUGAAAUAUGUGUCUGUCACAUGCGCGAGCUAUUUAGCUGCCCUACUAGUUACCUAUUUUGCUUACCUCGCGCCUGCUAACAAGACCAAGGCAGCGGAUCGUCUGGUCCCUCAAAAUGUUGUCAAAUUCAAGUCAUGUGCUAUCUAGGAUUGGAGAACCAUGUCCUUUAAUUAAGACCCGAGACAGGUGAGUGGGACUUUACCUGGACUAAUGAUUUGUAUACCGGUGUGGCGAGAUACUUUGAGUAAAUUGACAAAACAGACCAGGGCAUGGGACUCCUUUUCACAUGGGACCGCGGUGGGUCUGUGUAAACUAUGCGAUUAUAUUCGAAACAGGUUUAUAGUAGUGAAUGUCAUCUAUUCAUUUACUGUUAUAGUAUUUCUAAGUACUAGCAGCCAUGUCAACAAGGGAUUUUCUUUCUCUCAAUUUAUGAUAGAACAUUCCUAUAUUUUCUGCUUUACUGUGGCUCUUUACCUGAAUUGUUAACAUUUUCUUUUAAUCACAAAGAACUACUUAUUUUGCUGAAAUAUAGAUAUAAUUCAAUUGUGUUUUCUUUGAAAAGAUGGGCCUGGCUGGGAAUAGAACAUUCCGUUUUCUGCCCGAGUGUGGCGCUGUUUACCGCUAUUUUCUGGAUUAUUUUGUGACCAGAAAAAAACUAAUUUUACUCAACUAGAGAUGUAAUUAAAUGGUGUUUAUUUUCAAAGGUGUGACUGGCUGACAUGAAAAAUACAUUAAGGGGAAAGGAUCCACAGACACCAGAGGCUGAUAAUCUUUCUGCACAUCUCUUUAUUAUAAUGUUGGCUGCUAUGGUUAACACACACGCAUGACAUUACAUUUUACAUUUUAGUCAUUUAGCAGACGCUCUUAUCCAGAGCGACUUACAAAUUGGUGCAUUCACCUAUAAUAUCCAGUGGAACAACCACUUUACAAUAGUGCAUCUAAAUCUUUUAAGGGGGGGGUUAGAAGGAUUACUUUAUCCUAUCCCAGGUAUUCCUUGAAGAGGUGGGGUUUCAGGUGUCUCCGGAAGGUGGUGAUUGACUCCGCUGUCCUGGCGUCGUGAGGGAGCUUGUUCCACCAUUGGGGUGCCAGAGCAGCGAACAGUUUUGACUGGGCUGAGCGGGAACUGUGCUUCCUCAGAGGUAGGGAGGCGAGCAGGCCAGAGGUGGAUGAACGGAGUGCCCUUGUUUGGGUGUAGGGCCUGAUCAGAGCCUGAAGGUACGGAGGUGCCGUUCCCCUCACAGCUCCGUAGGCAAGCACCAUGGUCUUGUAGCGGAUGCGAGCUUCGACUGGAAGCCAGUGGAGAGAGCGGAGGAGUGGGGUGACGUGAGAGAACUUGGGAAGGUUGAACACCAGACGGGCUACCUGAAUUGACUCGGCAAUGUCAAACAGGGCCUGAGGCGAUUGGACCGCCUUUUCCUGCCUGUUACCUUAAAGUCCAUAAUUAACAUAUACAGCUCUGGAUCCAUUGCCUUACUACUGCAACAACUUGUCAAUUAUAUGCCCUUUUAUAGAAACCCCCCCUUUUUUUUUUUUUUUUUACUAAUGACUAAGGUAUGUAACCAUUAACAUUGGCUGCAUAUCCAUUGUCCUUCCUAAGUGUGGACUUUUUAGUCAUUUAGCAGACACUCUUAUCCAGAGCAAUUAGGGUUAAGUGCCUUGUUUAAGAGCACAUUUGACAGAUUUGUCACCUAGGGGAUUCAAACCAGUAACCUUUUGAUGACUGGCCCAAUGCUCUUAACCACCCCAUUGCACAUUUUAGGGAUAUAUAACUUUGAUGUGAAGUAGCUUACACCUAUCCAGUGCUUGCAUAUCCAUGAGGAGAGGAAUGGACAAUUAGUAUGCAGCCAUUGAUUUCAGGUGGCUUCUUCAACAGAUGGAAUGUGUCUGUGUCCCAAAUGGCAUCCCAUUCCGUAUACAUUUGACAUUUUUGUAGACACUCUUAUCCAGAGCAACUAACAGUAAUGAGUGCGUACAUUUUUGUACUGGUCCCCCGUAGGAAUCGAACCCUCAACCCGAGGGCUUUGGGACGUAUUCCACCUGUUGAGCCACACCCUGGCUAUUGUAAGCCAUUUCUCCAUCCCAGUCCCCUAGUUAAGCAAAUGAAGGGGAGAGGCUCUGAGUAUAAUUAAUGUAGUAAAUUACUUUUCCUGUUAAUUACUUUAUUUUCUAAACUUGCGUUAUAGUGUGUGUCCAUUUAAAUAAAACCUUUGUCCAGACAAUAAAUCCAUAUUUUCAUUGAUGGAAUAUUCAACAGACUGAACAGUCAUAUACCAAUGAGAUUAAGUAGUUGUAUUGCAGUUGUGUGGUGUUCUUGGCAUUCAGCCUCAUCUUGGUAUGGAAUAACUGACAAAAUACCUCAGCCUUAGGAAAUCAUUGGGGAAAGAGUUCCCACUUCCAGUUUGCACAAAUAUUUAUUUGACUUGUUGUAAGACAGAGCUACAGACCAUAUAAAAGCAUAUAUUCAACAAGAAAA